Vicia villosa (hairy vetch) is the source of this 1608-nucleotide RNA transcript. RefSeq lists it as uncharacterized. The record is from RefSeq and is a predicted model, not a curated record. Lineage: Eukaryota; Viridiplantae; Streptophyta; Magnoliopsida; Fabales; Fabaceae. The transcript is spliced from 4 exons.
AAUAAAGAGAGUGAAUGAGAUUUUUAAUAUCGGAGAGCAGAGAAAGAUAAUGUUAAUUUGUGGCCCGAGUUUAUUCCUACGCGUGGGGGGUUUCCAAAAUUGCAAUUGUCCGAACAAGAAGAAGUCGAGGAGUAUCAGUUGCAAAUCCCAGAGCGAGAUUGUGAGUAAAGUAUGCCGCAAUUACAGUCUCAGACUUGUAUCCUUCCUCACAGCGGCUGCAGUAAUAGGUUCAAUUGCAACAGCCGAUGCAAUUUAUGAACAAGAAGAGACUCUAUCAAACAUACCUCAAACUCUAUCCGGUGACUGCAUAUCGGCCCAAGACUGUAAGAAAACUAAAAUACAGAAACCCAAGUCAAGGAAAGCGGAAUCCUGCACGGUUAAGUGUGUUACCACUUGCAUCAGAGGAGGCGAAGGCUCUCCUGGUGAAGGCCCUCUUAAUGUCAGAAGACCACUGGUUGUUUUCAAGCAAGGUUUUCGAACUCGUCACUACUGUUUGGUGGAGUGUUCAGAUAUUUGUAAUUUGAUGAGCAAUGCCGACGACAUGCCUUGAAUUUAUACUUCUAUCCAUUUUUUCUUAGGGAAGCUAUUGAUAUUAAUAAACCUUGUAUAAUCUCUAACACCAUCCUCCAUUUUCAACUUUUGUCACUUGCAACUUGAAGUGAACAGAAGAAUUCAAGCAACUCCAAAGUCAAUUGAGCAUUCAGUUAACUUCAGGAAGGUCCCAUGAAGCUUUUAGGAUCGUUACAUUACAACUGAAGUGCUUGAAGAAGCAUUGGACUUUCUCCAAUAGGUAAGCUUCUUGAAUUUUCAAACUCCAUCACGUGAGCAUCAUUUUUGAUAAUUCUCGAUUAUAUUAUGUUUGUCAUGAUGUAAUGAAUGAAAGCUCUCAAUUGUUUAUCAUUUAUCAUUGUUAUAGGUCAGUUAAUUUUAUUUUGAAAUUUUAGGGUACUUAGAGUUUUUUUGCAAAAUUAAAGAGUCACAUGUUGAAUAAAUUUAUGAGAGUUACUUCGUUGAAUUCGUGUUGCAAUUUUGAACAAGUUUCAAGUUUACAUUAUUUGAAUUGGUUGAGAAAUGAGUGAGUUGCAUUUUCUCAAAAUCCAGGAGCUUGAGGUUGAAGAUGAAGUUCAAAAUUUGAAAUUUUGGACCUGUUUUAAAAUAUAUAUAUUUAAUUGAAUGCAAAACAAGGACAAUAUUUUAUAUUCAAAAAUAUAAAAUUAAAACAGUAAUAAAAUUAUUUAAAAAAAUUAAAAGUUUUUUUAAAAUUAAAAUAUUAAGUUUUUUUUAAAAAAAAUCCACUUAGAUUUAAAAAUUAAAAGAAAAUACCACAUGAUUGCCACAUAGGCUACUAAAGAGAACUUUUGCUGCAAUAUGGUAGUCAAGGGUGUACCUGAAGAAAUCUGAAAAUUACAAGGGAGGGUAAAACAAUUUUACCAGAGAUUAAAAUCAAAUCUCACUAACAUUACGGAGAUAUUUUAUAUAUUUAACCCAUUAAAUUUUAUACUAUUUACUAAAUAAUAUAUACUAAAUAUAUUAAUUACAAAUAAAUUUUAUAACUAUUCUUAAAAUAUAUAACCACUUAAUAUAAAAUACGUAUUCAAUAUAUAACAC